RNAcentral lists this ribosomal RNA (457 nucleotides) under uncultured Burkholderiales bacterium. RNAcentral describes it as "bacterial SSU rRNA". It matches the Rfam family "Bacterial small subunit ribosomal RNA", at positions 8 to 469 of the family's 1533-position model. Lineage: Bacteria; Pseudomonadati; Pseudomonadota; Betaproteobacteria; Burkholderiales. The record is from RNAcentral.
AGAGUUUGAUCCUGGCUCAGAUUGAACGCUGGCGGCAUGCCUUACACAUGCAAGUCGAACGGUAACGCGGGGCAACCUGGCGACGAGUGGCGAACGGGUGAGUAAUAUAUCGGAACGUGCCCAGUAGUGGGGGAUAGCCCGGCGAAAGCCGGAUUAAUACCGCAUACGACCUACGGGUGAAAGGGGGGGAUCGCAAGACCUCUCGCUAUUGGAGCGGCCGAUAUCAGAUUAGCUAGUUGGUGGGGUAAAAGCUCACCAAGGCGACGAUCUGUAGCUGGUCUGAGAGGACGACCAGCCACACUGGGACUGAGACACGGCCCAGACUCCUACGGGAGGCAGCAGUGGGGAAUUUUGGACAAUGGACGCAAGUCUGAUCCAGCCAUGCCGCGUGCGGGAAGAAGGCCUUCGGGUUGUAAACCGCUUUUGUCAGGGAAGAAAUCCUUUGAAAUAAUACUUC